GGGGAUGUGGUUCAAGUGGUAGUAUGCUCACCUGGCAUGUGCGAGGCUCUGGGUUCAAUCCUCAGCACCACA
Molecule: transfer RNA, 72 nt
Filed under: Marmota monax (woodchuck)
Lineage: Eukaryota; Metazoa; Chordata; Mammalia; Rodentia; Sciuridae
Description: tRNA.Ala
Source: RNAcentral